RNAcentral lists this ribosomal RNA (444 nucleotides) under uncultured bacterium. RNAcentral describes it as "SSU rRNA". It matches the Rfam family "Bacterial small subunit ribosomal RNA", at positions 26 to 518 of the family's 1533-position model. The record is from RNAcentral.
AGAACGAACGCUGGCGGCAGGCUUAACACAUGCAAGUCGAGCGCCCAGCAAUGGGAGCGGCGGACGGGUGAGUAACACGUGGGAACAUGCCCUUUGGUACGGAACAACUCAGGGAAACUUGAGCUAAUACCGUAUGUGCCGGUAACGGGAAAGAUUUAUCGCCAAAGGAUUGGUCCGCGUCCGAUUAGCUAGUUGGUGAGGUAACGGCCCACCAAGGCUCCGAUCGGUAGCUGGUUUGAGAGAACGACCAGCCACACUGGGACUGAGACACGGCCCAGACUCCUACGGGAGGCAGCAGUGGGGAAUCUUGGACAAUGGGGGAAACCCUGAUCCAGCCAUGCCGCGUGAGUGAUGAAGGCCUUCGGGUUGUAAAACUCUUUCGACGGGGACGAUAAUGACGGUACCCGUAGAAGAAGCUCCGGCUAACUUCGCGCCAGCAGCCGC